Molecule: long non-coding RNA, 1435 nt
Filed under: Bos indicus x Bos taurus (hybrid cattle)
Lineage: Eukaryota; Metazoa; Chordata; Mammalia; Artiodactyla; Bovidae
Description: lncRNA (ENSBIXG00000023586.1)
Source: RNAcentral
UGUUUUGCAGCCGGAGCUGACUAAGACACGGGAGAAGGGAUGAGAGGAGGCGGUGAACUCGUCUUGCACGUGUGAAAGGCCUCUGGCUGCACAUGUGGUGCCAUCUCAGCGCGUCCUCCCCACACCUGGAGGUGACAGCACACAGGUUUUUGUGACAAGUGGAACAGGAGAGGGAAGAUGAUAACUCCGGGGAGGUCAAGCACCCACACGAGCGCUCACAGCAGGGAGAUACUAUCCCAGAUCAAGCUGAUGAGAGCUGCCACCAGAAAUGACUGCGAGCAAGCCCCAGAAACCCCAUGGGCGCUGAGUCUCAUCACCGAAGGAAAUGUUCUGCUGCAUUUUAUUUCCUCUUUGAAAUAUUUCUGUUCCAACAUCCUGAAGGGAAGAAAGACAGAAAAUAGUUCCCAGCUAAAUGCCGCAUCUUCAGAAACGUGAACACAGGAAAGUCUGGAGUCUCCUGACCUGUGUGUAGUCCCUCCUCUGAACUCCAGGUUCAAGAGGCAGGUUCCUGCUGUACGAGAUGAGGAAGACCCCAAACCCCGAUGCACAUGGCCAGUGGUCAGCAUGCCAGCCCCAGACAGACUUGCCCGGGAACACAGCACUGGCCAGGGGCUGUUACAUGCCUCAUCACCUUAAACCUUCACAACAGCUUGACAGCAAGAGACGGGCUAUUGCUGCUCUUUUCCAUAUGAACUGUAUGAAGCUGGACAGCGGCAGCGAUUUUCCUAAGAGCCAAUUACUGGGCAGCAGCUGAGCCGGGACUUGCAGCAGAGGCUCCGUGUGGUGGUUUAUUUUCUCUCUGGGACAGGGCAGGUCCAGCCUCACCUGGGGACCUGCAGGAUCUUCUCACAGGUCCCACACCCUCUUACCAACCAGCAAGGAGCAAAGGAGGUCUUGGUUUUCAGGUUCUUGAUGAUUUCCAGCCGUGGGCUUGCUCUGAAGGCGUCUUGGAUAAGGACAGACGUGUUGGCUCUGAGAACCCACCCUGAGUUCACUCUUACAGUUCAAACAUCCUUGAUCCACGUGCCCGGUUAAAAUGUGAGUCAUCCUCAGAGGGAUAAAUGGCGAUGUCACUAACCUGCAGGAUGAAUUCUUUCUUGGGAUCUGGUUCUAGAAAUGGCUCGUGGUGGGUGGAGCCCCUACCAGUGAGCUUGAGGAAGCAGAGCCUUGCUCAGCGUUGAGCAGCUUGCUCUGGUGUGACCUUGUCUGUGCCCUUGGCUCUGGAGGGCCUCCUCCGGGAGCCCCUGUGUCCAGCCUCACACCCACUGGCAUUCCACAGAGGACUGCAGCUGUAAAAGGCCUGAACUCAGAAGGUUAGUAACCACGGAGAACAGGCCGAGUCUGCCAAACUUCAUGUUGCGAGCAGGUCUCCGAAAGUUACGGCGGUGUGCAUGGUCUCACGCAUGUCCACGGGCUGGAGCGAGGCUUCAUGCCC